UUAAACCCGUGAGAGGGAAAAUGCUCCCAUUAUUUACCAUCCCUGAGCUAGCAGCAGCUGACCUUCUCAAAAAAGCUGUACAGAAAUUAAAAACCUUCAACAAAGACAUGACUGAUGGACCCUAUCGUCUUCUUUUUCCCGAUGGGUCAGAGGUAGUUGUUGUCCCUGGGACAAAAACGCCAUUCAUUUUAUCCGAGUACAAAAAAGAAAUUGGCAAGGCAUAUUGCCGUAUUACACUUUUUGUCUGCCCGGAUGAGCAUUUUAAAGAAGCAUAUGCUGCUCCGGAUUCCGAUUCCGACUCGGACUCAGAGGUAAAUGUAAGAACCAGGAAGUCUGUCGAAUUCAGUGAGGCUGCUACUGUGCUUUGUGUACACCCAAACACCAAGUCAAGCAAGAAGU
Molecule: long non-coding RNA, 399 nt
Organism: Alosa alosa (allis shad)
Lineage: Eukaryota; Metazoa; Chordata; Actinopteri; Clupeiformes; Clupeidae
Exons: 3
Source: RefSeq, a predicted model, not a curated record